This 100-nucleotide ribosomal RNA is filed under the name Escherichia coli. RNAcentral also lists the same sequence under 2 other names. The record is from RNAcentral. Lineage: Bacteria; Pseudomonadati; Pseudomonadota; Gammaproteobacteria; Enterobacterales; Enterobacteriaceae.
CGGUGGUCCCACCUGACCCCAUGCCGAACUCAGAAGUGAAACGCCGUAGCGCCGAUGGUAGUGUGGGGUUUCCCCAUGCGAGAGUAGGGAACUGCCAGGC